This 2100-nucleotide ribosomal RNA is filed under the name Triticum aestivum (bread wheat). Its description in RNAcentral is "partial small subunit ribosomal RNA". Lineage: Eukaryota; Viridiplantae; Streptophyta; Magnoliopsida; Poales; Poaceae. The record is from RNAcentral.
AUGCGGACAAGCGCGGCCACGUCGUCGCCACGGGAUGGCGGCUCCGGGGCUCUGACCCCCGCCCAGGCCGGCAUGGGGAGCGGCGGCGCCAGGCGGCAUUUCUUCCCGCUCACCAGCUUGCAAAUCGGGGAUUUACAGUCAUAUCUUGCAGAGCUCACUAUAUUUUUGUGCCCCGAUACCAAGAAGUUCCUUAUAUUCCUUGACAACCGUCCAUGGUUGCUAGAUCAGAAUACAAAACCUGCUCACCUGUGGCAAUUGAUGGUUACCAAGUCAAGAUUUUCUCCUUUCGCGAACACUAGAACUAGGAGAAAGAGAGAUGAAGGUGGAAAUAAGCUUGUAUUUUCAGAAUUCCCAACAUCUGCUCCACGUAUGUGGAAUCAAUCAUCCAAAUGGUAUACUCUGAUUGAUGAUACCAUGCGGAAAAAGAAGCUUCAAGUAAAUAAAUUGAAGGAUUCUCGCCUGCUGAAUAGGGAGCUGCAUCGGACAUUGUAUGGUUUUAUUAUUUUUGAGGUAGACUGGGCUGAUGUGCGUGGCAUUAAUUAUUUGAAUGAGCUUCAGACUGAUACAUCGAUGGUGAUCGAAGCUAAAACAAUGAAGAGAUGGGAAUUCGAUAGUGUCAAUCAAGCUUCAUCUUUAAUCACUUCUUGGUUCUCAGGGAAUUACUCAGAGUGUCAGCUCUUACAAGAUUAUUUAAAUAGCAUCUCUCCUAAAGGUGAUGUUUUUUAUGAUGCCCUAGAUGACUUAACACCUGAAUUAUGGGACACUGAGAGUGUAAAGAGCGAUGGUGAUGAUUCUGGAGAUUGUGUUAGGGUGCCGUCAAGUUCCACAAGCUCAUCAUACACCCCUCCACCUUGCUCUGGACCUUACAAGAGAAGAAGGAUAACAAGAUCUGAUGCUGGAAGUGAUAUGUCUGAGGAACCAUACUCAGAAUUUGUGACCUCACCAAGAUAUUCAUCAUAUUCAUCUUCAUCAUGUUGCAGUCAUAAUGACAGUGGCACGCCACUGGUGGAGCCUAGCACAUAUAAGGAUGUGCUGAUCUUGUUCCGAUUCAAUGAUCAUGAUCUGCCGUUCAGACUAAAGGAAGUUAUACUGUCUGAUGUGAGGCUCUUAACAUUACUUGAGUAUGGUCUUCCUUCAUGGGUCAUUUUUCUUCAGUCAUAUCCAGUGUUCUGCAAGAUAUAUCGCCCAUGGAUGUGUCCUCUAGCCAGAGCACUAUACGUCUUGAUGUCAUUAAUUACUGUUCUUAUAGGAUUUUAUGACCUCUACAAGAAUGUACCAAUGUUGAAGGCAACUGCCUCUAGAUUAUUUGGCCCUUUGUUUGAUUGGAUAGAGACAUGGGAAAUGAUCUCAAGGCUUAAGUAUCUUGGAACCAUGCUUUUUCUGAACAAUUUCCAGCAGGCUUUUACAUGGUCUCUUAAGAUUGUACGUGCUACUAAGUCUGUUCUUAGUGUAUUGACAAAGCCAAUUAUGGGGCCACUGUUGGAGGUUCUUGAAUUUACCCUGCCACUAUGGAACAUUUGUGCUGAAACGGUUGAAUAUCUCAGUUCAGCUGCAAUGGUAGCGAUGGAAACAUCAUUCGGUGCGGUUAUCAGUACAGUUCAGAUGAUCAUGUGGCCAUUUUGGUUUAUCUUCAGUACGGUGUUUAAUAUAGCAAAUUCGAUCUUAUACCCUGUAAUUUGGUUCGUCGGAGAGAUACUAGCCGCACCUUUCCGACUUGUCGUUGCGCUAGCAAGUUUUGUAGCAGACUUCUUUGAUGAUAUUGUUGAUGUUUUAAGGCAGACCUGGUCAACGUUAAGUUCGUUGUAUCAAGUUGGUUCUGCAUCCAGAGCACCUGCGCUUACAUCUGAAACUACCAUUUGGGGAUCACUCUGGAAAGAUCUUCUGUACCAGAUUUUCCGUGCAGUUCGGAGCAUUUUGUACGGUUUUGUUGCCUUCUUUUCAACGUGCAAUAGGCAUCGGCUCAGCAUAUACAAUCACAUAGAAGUUCUUCUCCGGCGCCUGUCCCGCGCCUUAAAUGGCACGCGACAUACCUCCGCUUGUGAAGGAGCUCAGAAGUAUACUAGUCAAGAUUAUCCUCAAAGGAAAACUAAGACGAGAUGA